This is a non-coding RNA of Pelobates cultripes (western spadefoot toad), 88 nucleotides long. The record is from the annotation of a GenBank genome assembly. NCBI's taxonomy places the organism in Eukaryota, Metazoa, Chordata, Amphibia, Anura, Pelobatidae.
CAUGGGCCACCAACAGUCCAGGUUUUGUCGGUAUCUUCAUUGGAAUAAAAGAGGGAAAUACAUAAAUCCUGUACUGUUGGUGGUCCAU